CGUCAGUUGAACGUUGGAGCAAGGCAGUGGAAGCCUUGGCAUGUGUCGUCGGCAGUUCCCGUCUUUUAAUUUCUUGGCGGCACGUUUCCUGUCGGCGGACUGUUUCGAAGACAACUCACGGCGGCGACGAGGCUAGGCGGACGAACUUGCUACCGGACCGAAGCCAGUGUGCGUGCCCGAGGCUCAUCCCGAUUUGGCUCGCCAGCGGCCACCCUUGAGGCUCCACCGAAUCGGAGCGUCCAAGGUGCGGCCCAGGACGCCAGCCCAGCGCACUGUCCUGCCAGCCUGGCGGCGCUGAUGAGGACGGGCCGUCGGGUGCCUUCGACGGAGAGCUGCGUGUCGUGCCACGCUUUUGGCUCCAGGGGCGGGGGAUGUGCUCGCACAUGCGUGGCGGGCACUUGCGUGAGGCCCGGCUUGCCUGUGGCCCUGCAGGUCUGAACGCGGUCUUGGGACGGGGCAUUGUUUCCUGCCCGUGCCAGCAAGCGCCGAGCGUCAAAGUGGAGCGAUAUCCGGGACUAAACUCUCGGACAACUUUCUGUAGCCACGCGGAUGGGCGCACGUGCGAUUGCGCAUCUUGCAGGCGCACCAAAGCCUUGCACGCGCACACCACUACUGAAAGUUGUCCGCGAGGGGGAGGGUUCCCUGCGUAGUAGUGUAGACUGGAAUCGACAGAAUAGAGGAGCUGGCUGGAUAUCGGGUGGAAAAAAAUCUGAGCUUGGCACAUACGGAGCUAAAGUUUAACAUAGAUGCAGAUUCUUUGUAGUGGAUUUUGUCCUGUAAGAUUUCGGGCAACUCUAUCUGGGAAAGAUCCAAAGACCUUUGACAGGGAUCCUUGGUCGUGCUCGAGGUAAACCGUGCAGUAACUAACCUCUGAAGUUCCGGCAUGACUGCUUCUAAGUAUUUUGGCGAGAGGCAUUCAAGCGCCCUGUCGGGACGGUCGAACGGUGUUUUAAUGCCUCCGCGAACUGUCUCUUGCAGGCAUUGCGGUAAGUUACUGGGCACGCCAAAAGCUGCUGGUAUCAGCGGGAUGCUUCCUCGUUGGUUGUAUUUCCUCGGCCACCACAACUGAGGCCUGCAUCUCGUAUUAGAGAUUCCGCAAACGUUUCUGAGCCCGAGAGACUAAGAUCGAACCAAGGUGUUUGGAAAUUUCCACGCUUAUUGCGUCCACAAAUUCUGCAAUUAACUUCGAGGUUUCGAAAGCUUCGAACUUUGUGAAUUCGAACGUCACCGCGAAUCAGAGGUGCGAACUUCGCGAAUUGGAAUGUGCAAAGUUUAAAAUUUCCAAAAAAACUCAAAACCUCCCGAGGCACAUCUGUACUCGAAUUCUGGGAACAAAUCGGAGAGGCUUGAAGUCUGCUGUAAACAAAGUAUGAUGAAAAUGUAAGUUAGCGCCGAAUUAUUUUCGAGGCGGAAGCGAUUAGCUAGAAUGACUUCGAAGUGCUAUGUAGACCACCCCUAACGCUGCAAAGGAUUUAUUCCAGCGAGCGGUCCUACCUAGGCUGUUCUAAAUCUUGCCCAAUUGGGUCCGAUCCGAGUUACUCCGGCGGGUCGUGUCACGUGACAGCGUACUGAAAAACGCUGGACCCGCUGGACGCGGGUAGGUUUUGAAACACCAAGGUACAAAAUCCUUACCUUGGAGUAAGAUUGAGUACAUUUUGGAACACGGCCCUAGAGUCUCUGGACCAGGGGCUUCGCGUUCCGAACAAAGAACCGGGACAUCGCAGCAGGCAGCGAUGUCCAGGUCCCGCCGUAGAGAUUAGGGCCCAUGUUAGCAUCAUUCUCUUCCUGUCUAAGCGUUUUACAAUGUAUACAACCAACUUGGCACCUUACAAGUACCGUCAUUCUUCCAAGCGCCGACUGCCUGACUGUGCGGGUUUUUGAAGUGAAUGGCGGCGCGCAGUAGCAGAAUGAACGGCAAGCCGCCAGGUUUUCACCGGGUAAUAUGCUUCGUCAUACGUGCUACCUGCAGACGAUAUCGAGGGAUUCGAGUCCUGUCUGCAAGUUAAUAUACUCGUUUUCACCUCAAGAACAGUAGUAAAAAAAAAGUACGGCUUCUCGCGGUGGCAUUACUAAUUUCCCUCUGGGCUGAGAAUUUUAGAUUAGAUAAAUGUUACCUUAUCAAGACGUACACGUUUCAAGCGACAGUAGCAUCGCUUUUGCCUUUGACAACCAAAUCUUGUGAGAACUACUUCGCGCGGCGCAUGAGCAUUGAGCAAAACUUCCCCUUGAGGUGAAAACUGGUAUAGUGGCGGCAACGAACACGCAUGAUGCAGCUCAUUUUGUGAGAAGAAAAUUCCUUCAAAUGGCGUCGUUAGCUUGCUCAAAUCCGCGCCAUCGUGUGAGUGGGCGCCGGGAAGCAUGUCGCCACUUGCGUAAGAAGCACGGAGUGCGCCUUUGACCCCCAUGAAGGUCAUAAGUCUGACCCGUUCCUCUUCGGUGCUACCAUGACCGCCAAAUAGCCGAGUAGAGGCCUCGGCGUGGGAGGUAAGUGGAAUUGUUCAUGGCUAAAGGAAUUGGGAACGGCGCACAAAACGACUGGGAACAACGAGAAUAGAGCACGGGCUUCGUGGUGUUUUCUUGUUUGAGCCGUUUUUAAUAAAAUUUCAGUUGAUAGUCCGCGCACGUCCCGUGCUCGACUCUCGUUGUCCUCGUAUUUUUGCGCGCUGUUACUAAUUUCUGAAGGUAAGUGGAAGGGUGCCUCUACAUGCGAGCGGCCCUUUUCAAAGUGUGCCCUCUGUUGGAAGCUGCGGAAUCACUGGACAAUGGCGGACAAAAGGCAUCGCCAAUGUUGGAACCUUGGACACUACUAAUAGACCUCGAAAUUUGCGUGCCGAUUAUUAGGUGGGAACUAAUGCAUAAUGGUGGAACAACUGACAUCGUGGAGCGUGCAAUUCAUUCCAUAAGAUGGCGAGCGUGGAACGCGGUUAACGCUAGGAACCGACGAGUCAAACCAUCGGAAGUAGGACGUCACUGCGUACGUCUCCUUUUUCUUGGAAGGUUUUCCUUCUCUAACCAAACGCAUUAACUGUUCCGUGGCGUUAAGCUUUUAGGCCGCCAUAGUUCAGGGAUUCUACAGCUGGCAGCACCGGGCAGUAUUUCGGAAGGGGUCUAUGACCCUUAAUUUCUAGCUUAUGUAGUUUUCGGAUCUCGCAUUCUGUGGUGCCGCUUGUUCCGCCAUUGUGCAGCGUUUUAUACAUUUGAACAAUGUAUACAUUUGCCCCGUACAUUUGAACAGUGUACGGGGCUUUCGUAAAGGGUCAGGCUUGACUGAUACAGUAACAUCGUUAUAUUUUCAACACGAUAAUGAGUGGCGCACUAUACUAUCCUAUCCUAGUCUUGGAGAAGACUGGUCUUGUGUGUGUGGAACGGGUCCCUCUGUUCAGCUUCGGAUAUUGGUCUGACAGGCAGCGUUAGUUGAAAUAAAACUGCGCUAAGCGAGCGUGUGGCGAUUAUGAAUAAAAUACAAGGACAGCAAAACUGGGAAAGCGGUCACGGACAACCUAGAUCUUCGUGAUCGCGCGAAAUUUUCGUACCCGAAAAUAAAUGAGAGUUUGGUACCUGAA
Long non-coding RNA from Ixodes scapularis (black-legged tick), 3563 nucleotides. RefSeq lists it as uncharacterized. Lineage: Eukaryota; Metazoa; Arthropoda; Arachnida; Ixodida; Ixodidae. The record is from RefSeq and is a predicted model, not a curated record. The transcript is spliced from 2 exons.